This 119-nucleotide ribosomal RNA is filed under the name Chlorocebus sabaeus (green monkey). The record is from RNAcentral. Lineage: Eukaryota; Metazoa; Chordata; Mammalia; Primates; Cercopithecidae.
GUCUGUGGCUAUACCACCCUGAACACACCUAAUCCCAUCUGAUCUUGGAAGCUAAGCAGGUUCAGGCCUGAUUAGUACUUGGAUGAGAGAUCUUGGUGGGUUUUAGAUGGCUUCUUCUA